RNAcentral lists this ribosomal RNA (538 nucleotides) under uncultured bacterium. RNAcentral's name for it is "partial 16S ribosomal RNA". It matches the Rfam family "Bacterial small subunit ribosomal RNA", at positions 28 to 523 of the family's 1533-position model. The record is from RNAcentral.
GACGAACGCUGGCGGCGUGCCUAAUACAUGCAAGUCGAACGAGCUCUCCCAAAAUUGAUUUUAUGCUUGCAUAAAUGAUUUUUUGGAUUCGGAGCGAGUGGCGAACUGGUGAGUAACACGUGGGUAACCUGCCCUUAAGUGGGGGAUAACAUUUGGAAACAAAUGCUAAUACCGCAUAUGAAUUAAAACCGCAUGGUUUUAAUUUGAAAGAUGGCUCUGCUAUCACUUUUGGAUGGACCCGCGCCGUAUUAGCUAGUUGGUGAGAUAAAAGCUCACCAAGGCGAUGAUACGUAGCCGACCUGAGAGGGUAAUCGGCCACAUUGGGACUGAGACACGGCCCAGACUCCUACGGGAGGCAGCAGUAGGGAAUCUUCCACAAUGGACGAAAGUCUGAUGGAGCAACGCCGCGUGAGUGAUGAAGGGUUUCGGCUCGUAAAACUCUGUUGUUAAAGAAGAACAAGUGUAAGAGUAACUGUUUACGCUUUGACGGUAUUUAACCAGAAAGCCACGGCUAACUACGUGCCAGCCGCCGCGGUAA